AGCAGCCGCGGUAAUUCCAGCUCCAAUAGCGUAUAUUAAAGUUGUUGCAGUUAAAAAGCUCGUAGUUGAAUUUCGGGAUCAAUAUGUCGGUCGUGCCUUGGUACGUACUGGUAUCAUUGGUCUCUCCUUUCUGACGAACCAUGAUGUCAUUAAUUUGGUGUUAUGGGAAGUUAGGACUGUUACUUUGAAAAAUUGAGUGUUUAAAGCAGGCUUUAGCUUGAAUACAUUAGCAUGGAAUAAUGAAAUAGGACGUUCGAACCUAUUUUGUUGGUUUCUAGGAUCAACGUAAUGAUUAAUAGGGAUAGUUGGGGGCAUUAGUAUUCAAUUGUCAGAGGUGAAAUUCUUGGAUUUAUUGAAGACUAACUACUGCGAAAGCAUUUGCCAAGGAUGUUUUCAUUAAUCAAGAACGAAAGUUAGGGGAUCAAAGACGAUCAGAUACCGUCGUAGUCUUAACCAUAAACUAUGCCGACUAGGGAUCGGAUGAUGUUAAUUUUUAAUGUACUCAUUCGGCGCCUUACGG
This 520-nucleotide unclassified non-coding RNA is filed under the name uncultured Glomus. RNAcentral's name for it is "SSU rRNA". It matches the Rfam family "Eukaryotic small subunit ribosomal RNA", at positions 569 to 1093 of the family's 1831-position model. The record is from RNAcentral. Lineage: Eukaryota; Fungi; Glomeromycota; Glomeromycetes; Glomerales; Glomeraceae.